RNAcentral lists this unclassified non-coding RNA (225 nucleotides) under Hevea brasiliensis (rubber tree). The record is from RNAcentral. Lineage: Eukaryota; Viridiplantae; Streptophyta; Magnoliopsida; Malpighiales; Euphorbiaceae.
GGGCACCCCAUCUUUAGAAUUACAUCCUUGAAAGUUUUUCCAUGCGAUCAUUCAGUAAGCAGUUCUCCUGUGGAGCAGAAAAAGAUGGAGGCAGAGUUUUCUGGACUCUUGAGUGUGGCAGAGAAGACUUCUGGUCUCUAUUUUUCCUAUGAUACCAAUUUAACCCUGAGUGCACAAAGAUUGCACGCUUUAGGUGAUGAAUCAAAGUUACUACCCUUAUGGAGA